GCGACUAUGGUGAAAUGGUAAACGCGCCGUGUUAAGAUCGCGGUGGUCUUAGGCCUUGUAGAUUCAAGUUCUACUAGUCGUA
Molecule: transfer RNA, 82 nt
Filed under: Entransia fimbriata
Lineage: Eukaryota; Viridiplantae; Streptophyta; Klebsormidiophyceae; Entransiales; Entransiaceae
Description: tRNA-Leu
Rfam family: tRNA
About the family: Transfer RNA (tRNA) molecules are approximately 80 nucleotides in length. Their secondary structure includes four short double-helical elements and three loops (D, anti-codon, and T loops).
Source: RNAcentral